RNAcentral lists this ribosomal RNA (522 nucleotides) under Symbiodinium sp. B4P. RNAcentral describes it as "LSU rRNA". It matches the Rfam family "Eukaryotic large subunit ribosomal RNA", at positions 149 to 661 of the family's 3401-position model. The record is from RNAcentral. Lineage: Eukaryota; Dinophyceae; Suessiales; Symbiodiniaceae.
CCUGCAGGCAUAGCGCUAUCGGCGGCUCGAGCGCAAGCCUCUUGGAAUAGAGCGUGUGCCCGGGUGAGAAUCCUGCAUUUCGCUCGAUGUCCGCUGUCCACAGUGCUUGUUCUGAGAGUCACGCUCCUCGGAAUUGGAGCGUAAAUCAGGUGGUAAGUUUCAUCCAAAGCUAAAUAGAAGCUCGAGACCAAUAGCAAACAAGUACCAUGAGGGAAAGAUGAAAAGGACUUUGGAAAGAGAGUUAAAAGUGUUUGAAAUUGCUGAGAGCGAACCGAACGGAGCCACAUGUCCUGCUGAGAUUGCUGUGGGUCUUUGUGAGCCUUGAACAUGUAAACCCAAACUGACUGGGGGUGCUUGAGCAUUUUUCCCCAGUGUUUCUCAACAUGCGAGUCAUUAACCACAUUUGUUUGAGGAUGGCCUUCAACUCACAUGGUACACUUGUUAACGUGCCUUUUUGCCGUGUGGGACUCAAACACGUGUUCCUUGUUGACCCACUGGCCCUUUUCUAACCCUCUUUAAACA